Molecule: long non-coding RNA, 8107 nt
Filed under: Heterocephalus glaber (naked mole-rat)
Lineage: Eukaryota; Metazoa; Chordata; Mammalia; Rodentia; Bathyergidae
Description: lncRNA (ENSHGLG00100034549.1)
Source: RNAcentral
GUAAGCAACGGAGACGGGGUGGGAGGGGAGCAGGCCAAUAACACUGGAAAGCGGCAUGGAUUCUUCUCCACAGGAGGAAGGAGGGAAAUGGACAGGAGGGCGGAGGGAGCUGGAGGGGUUAGUGGCUCCUGCUCCGCUGACUCCGGAGAAACAAAGCAGGGGGCCCGGGAUUGGGGGGGGGGGGAUACGGUGUGUGUGCAUGUGUGUGUUCAGAUGGAGAGAGACAGGCACGGAGGAGUUGGCGGGCAGAGACUGACUAUGGGGAACGCACUCGCUUGAUCACGUAGGCCACGGGGCUCCUGACCUUGCAGCGCCAUCUGGACACGGGAGACCCAGGGAAGCUGGUGCGGAAAUCCCAGUCUGUGCCCAAAGGCCUGAGAGCAGGAGGCAGUGCUGCCAAUUCCAUUCCAUCCGCGGGCAGGAGGCGCCACCCUGGCUGGCCCGGCAGGCUGACUGGCCAAGGGGCGAAUUCCCGCCCCCGCCCUGUGCUCUUCCCCUCUCCUGGACUGGGUGGUGCCAGCCACAGGCAGGGCAUCUGCUUUCUGGGCCCUCGCUCUGUCUCACCGGGGACACCCACAGGCACACCAGGAAUGAGGUCUCAUCCGGCAACACAGAUUUAACACACAUGCACAAAACGUGGGAUCGCCACUUGGCUAAAAGAUCUUGAAAGAAUAUCUCAGGGCCGUGCCUUACUGUGUGAGCUCCCGAAAUCAAGGUGAUGCCGCAGGUUUGCUCUGCCACAUUACCUGGCACCAACGCUGAAUGUGGCUGUGUUUGGAGACAGGUGCUGUUGCUGUCAGAGUUUGCAAGGGAAUGGAGUUAGUACAGGACACAUCGUUUACAAGAUUAUUUUACAAUGGUCACUCAAAAAGUCAAAUGCAGAGGAGCGCAAGAGAUGUCCACCUGCUAGAGACCUAGAGGCCUGGAUCCUACCGCAGUGCCCUACCUGAGACCACUCAGAGGCGUGGGGCCCAGGGCAACGUCACAGGCAAGUCCAUACAGAGAGUCGACUGGGAAUGCCGGGUGCCCGUGGUGAAGCUGGAAAGUCUGCACCUGCGGGGCGAGGGGUCAGUACACAGGCUGAGGCUCGUGUGCGCACGGUGAAGACCAGCACUCCUGGAAGAGAACAGCAGCCAUCCCAGCGACAGCGCAAGGACCCGGCUCCUCCUCCUCCUCCUUCGAGAACAGCUGACUUAGUUUCAGGAAAACCAGCCACAGCCAGCUUCUCCAGGAAGAUCAAUGGCAGCACCUUCCCGCCCAUUCUCCUGUAUGCCCUUGGCAACAGUCCUCACCCAGGUGGGUGACUCGGCUCAGCUGGGCGUUCCCACUUAGAAUGACCUUAACCACCACAGAUAGUAAACAGGCGAUUCAGCUAGGACCAGGCCUUCUCGGGUUAGGUCGAAUUCAGCUGACUGCUGUUUUGAAAAGGGCAGGACACAGGCACACCGAAGGUCCAUGAGGCAGAGAGGCUGUGGACGCCGCCCUCCUCUGGACUCGGGCAGCAGGCAGUCACCUUGUCCUUGGCGUUUUGUUACAGCAGCGCUAGAACGUUGAUAGCUGUGUUAAUUUGAUCCUUUUCUUGGCAAAAAGUCUGGAAGGUGACCAAGAUUUUUCUUCCAUUUAAAAUAUUUUCCUCUGGACUUUGGAUAUUUUUGAACUUUGACAGCUCCCAACAUGGAUGUGUACUGUGUGAGUUGGAAAUAAUUAACUCUAAGUAAAUAAUCUUUGACUUGUAAAAAUAAUUUGCAGUAGAUAAAGAAAAUGAAUUUGAUAAAUUAACUGGUGCUAGGAUAAAUGCUAUAGGUCUUCUGUUGCCUGUAAUGUACUGAGCUUGUAUCUUUUAAUUUCUAGGGUAACAGCUGAAAUUACAUAAAUAGAUUGUUACUUUAAAAUUAGUAUAGAAAAAAGAAUAGAAUGAUAAAAUAUAACACAAAAGGGCAGAAACAAACGCAAAGAUGAGAGACAAUUAGAAAGCUCCAUAAGGAGUAUAAAGUCAAAAUCAGACAUAAAAGCAUCACAUUGUAUGUAAAAGAAUUAAAUGCUUCAGUGAAGACAGAAAUUGUUAGGCUGAGACAUGUAAAGUCACUUGUAUACUUUUUAUAAGAAUCAUUAAAACACAAGUGCAAAAAGGUAGAAAAGGAAUGGGAAAAGUUAUACCACAAUGAUAUUAACCAACAUAUGCUGGCUUAGCCAUAUUAAUAUCAGUGGGAAAAUAGAUCCCAAGGUGAGAAGCGGGCUUUGGAAGGGUCACUUCAGGCAGUGCCAUCAAAAUGGUCCGGCAGGCAGCUCUGAGCUCCAUCUACCAAGAGAAACAUCUAGGGCCAACCAGAGCGACCAGAAUUAACUUUGUCAGAACUCUGGAACACAGCAACUAAGAAACUGUGAGCGAAGAGACAGCAACUUCAUUUUUGUUUUUUUUUUGUACCGGAGAUCGAACUCGGGGGACCUUGCGAUUGUGAGGCAGGUGCUGGAACCACUGAGCUAAAUCCCCGGCCCCGAGACAGCAACUUCAAAACAGCGGGGAGGCCAAGGCCACUCUCACCUCACCCACCCACCCUGGAGACAGCAGCCAGGGCUGAGGGAGCAGGGGCCUCACUCCCAGUCCCUGCGAGCCGCCUGGAGGACAGAGGCCGGUGCCUUCAUCUGUUGUGCCUAAUUUGGAACUUACUUGGCGCAUUGGAUGGCGGGAAACAACCUGUAGCAAGACUGAGACCCGACAGAUGACCCACGCAGUGGGAGAAAAGAUCAGGGAGAGAAUUUCUUUGGAGACUCAGGGCAUUCAAAAGUGCAGGUGUAUCCAGGAGAAUUUGCAAAGCCACACCCACACCCAUGACGAGAUUCAUGCGCAGAAAAGUCCUGGAGAGACCUUAGGGUUCAUCUUUGGCUGAUCCCGGUGCUCAGAAUGCGAAUCACAGUGCAGAGCUUCGAGGAGAGGACCAAAGGAGGCAGGCGAGGUCUGCGUGCCUGUCAGGCAAGGCAGCCCCGGUCCACACCCUCGCUGAGCACCAGGGGCACACCUGACAGGGGAUCGGGUCUCUGGGCAAGAGGGAUGGGAAAGUUACUGGGUCAAAAGAUGAUUACAGACAAACAGUGAAAAGUAAAUGCUGAGGAAGGUGGAGAAUUCGAUUUCCAGAGCUAUCACAUUAUAAUAUUAAGAUAUUCUGUUCUCAACAACAAGACCUUAUCUAAGAACGUCGUGCCUGGCAAUCCUAAGCACUGCUGGAUGGAUGGAUGAACAAACGGGAAGAUGGACUGGGCCAGAUUCUCAGAGUGUUUAAGCAGGACACGAGCAUGCCUGUGCUUCUGCCCCGCAGACAUUUACCCGGGACUUCUGCCUAACGGUUGACUGCCAUGCCUACGUGUGGAAUUCGGUCCGUUGAUGUCUCCUAGAAACACUGCUGCUAGUGCUGCUGCUGCUGCUGCUGCUGCUGCUGCUGUGUGCUCUUCCUUCGGCUUCCAUGAGCUCCUUGACUGGCAGUGUCCCCAGGGCUCCAUUUGUCGCUUGGCUGCAGGCACUGGGUGCUGGUCUACAAGCUCCCUCUGGGCCCGGCGCCCUUUCUCACUGUGCAGCAGCAGAGGGCAUUGUCUAGGUACAGCUGCCAACGGUGGACUGCAGAAAGCGUAAUGCUGAGUCACUGCCCAUCAGCGAGCACUGUACGGGUUAAGGAGUAAUCUGGGAUGGGAGCGGCUGCCCAGAGGUGAACUGCGUCACUGCUUGUCAUUUCCACCCUACAAGAAGGAGUGUAUAGGGCUGGUCAGAAAAUAGGUGUGGGGCGGGGGAUUCAGCUCAGUGGUUCUGGUGCCUGCCUCCCAAGUGCAAGGCCCAGAGUUGAUCCCCAGUACCAAAAAGCAAAGCAAAACAAAUAUGGUGUGUUUCAAAUAAAAGAAAAAUUAUUGCAAUAAAAGACACAUUGGCAUCAAUCCCCCUCAGAAUCCUCCCCCUCACUUUGAACACACUUAUCCCAUUUUCUUGCCGCUUUCUGAAGCAGUUCUGGAGUCCUCUUUCAUGAGUGUCUUUACAAGGUGUAAUAAAAAAUAUGAGGAAUGCUGAUGCUGAGUGUCAUCCAACGGAAAACAUAAAAACACCACAGUGUGUUCUCAUCUACUUCAUUCACCACACCCAGCACUGUGGGACUUUUGGUUCUUCUCAAAAGUCAAAAUGACCAUGAAAGACGAACAGUUUGAUUCAAUUCAGGGCACUGAGGCAGACACAACAGUACAACUAGAAAAAUUCAUGAAAGAGGACUCGAAAACUGCUUCAGAAAGGAACAAGAAAAUGGAAUAAAUGUGUUUAAAGUAAGGGCAAGUGUGUUGAGAGGGAUUCAUAGCAAUGUAUCUUUUAUUAUAGUAAAUUUUUUAAAACUUAAAAAUUCAUAUUUUAAUGAUACUUCAAACAUCAUAUUAACUUUAUUCACUUCAUAGAUGUAUUACAUUGGGGUGCAGCUCUGUGGCAGAUCGCUUGCCGAACACAUACAAGAUAGCUCGAGAGUCAAUCCCCAACCCUGAAAAAAAUUACCUCAAAUGCUAAUGACAUUCGAUGGACUCCAAAACAUUUUUAAAUGAAAAAAUUGGAAGAGAUAAUUAAUAAGGAUUCGUCUAGCUUUUUGAUGAGCGUAUGAAGUCUUUGCAAGCUCUUACUGUUUCUCCAGGUGAGUCCUAUCUCCAUACAUGGUCACAAUUUCCUUCCCUGUCACCAGAAGGAACCGCACUCACCUGUGUGCCGUCAGAACAGCUCAAACAUCCAUCACACAGGCUGCCCGAGCCUGAGGGGAGCUGCUGCUUCAAGACGUUUGCUGUUCCUCAGCCUUGCUCAUGAUUUGCUAGGAGGUCGUCAUGCUGUCCUUCUGUGCUUCCCUCCGGUCCCAGACAGACCUGUUACUGGUCCACACUGCUCUGCACCCAUGGUCCCGUCUGCCCUGCUCUUCCCCUCCUUCGCCACCAUGCCCUUUUCUCGUCUCUCCUUGUCAAGCUCUUGCUCAGAUUCCCAAUUUCUAGGCUAGCGCUGACAUUCUCUGUCACCUUGUUUUUUGCUAUUCUUAUAUAGGAUUCUGUUUCUUUAUUAGUGCAUGUUGAUUACACCAAAUAAUGGGUGUCACCGCGGCAUAUUCAUGUGCACAUCCAUCCCCAUCAUACUUCAGUCAGGUCUGUCCCAGAGCCUUCUUCACCUCCCUCCAUCCCUUCCUCUCCUCUGUCUUCUUUCCAGAAGUCUGUGUUCUUUCACAUCAUCUCUUUUUUCUAUGCAUGAAAGAAAACAUGUGAUACUUGUCUUUCUGUAUCUAACUUACUUUACUCAACAUGUUGAUCUUCAGUUCUAUUUUUUUACAAAUGACAUAAUUUCAUUCCUCACUGUGACUGACUAAAGCUCCAUCGUGUAUGGAUUUCACUGUUUCUCCAGUCAUCUGUUGAAGGGGCAUCCAGGCUGGUUCCGUAACUUGGCGAUGUGACUUGUGCUGCAGCAAACAUGGAUGUGCAGGUAUCUCCACAGUAUGCUGACUUUAAUUCCUUUGAGUACAUACCUAGGAGGGAGGUAGUUGGAUCAUACUGUAGUUUUUUUUUUUUUUUUGGUUUUUAAUAUGAGUUCUAUAAAUACCUGAGUCCUGUGAUUUCCUUAUUUGCUUUGCAGUUCAUUUGCUUGGGAGGUGUGGGAAGAUUGUCUUAAAAAGGUGAAUUCCUCAUAUGACAGAGUCUGGCCACAGUGGGAUCUGAUCACACAAACGACCCAGGUGUUCUGAUGAAAGUUGCUGUCCACGCUUCAGGCAGUGUUUAGGAUUUAAAUGAAUGAGCUUCAGGGGAUCUGUGAACCUUCAGAAUUUUUUUACAUUCUAUAUCUUUAUGUCCAUUUGUAUUUUUCUAAGGGAAGGUUUCCUAACUUUCAACAGACUAUUAAAGGAGCCUGUGUCAGAAUUUUUUAAAAAGCAAUCUAUUAAACCAUUAAAUGAGGGUUUCAGAUAAAAGAAAACUUCUUUGUUAUUUGAGGACUAAAACAUAAAUUCAAUAUUGAGGUCUGAUACAUACAUUUUACUGUACAGGGUACUUUGAGACAUCACACACACAGAUCAUGCCUUUCAGAUUGGCUAAGGACACAUGCACACCUGGGCUGCUUUGUUUCAAGGUCUAGAGCCCCAAGGCCUAGCAUCAAAGAGGCGGCACGUGUCUAUCAUGUUGGAGGAAAGAGUGUGCCGAAUUCCAUCCGCGAUUUUCAUGAAAUCAGUAGCUAGAGGAUUAAGAGUCUUGUCUGCAGAUUCUGCCUGGAAAAGAGACAGCCCUGAAGUGUAAACAGUUUUGUGCACCAAGAUCAGUGUAGAGCCUGGUCUCUCAUUCAUCAUGUUCUGGCUCUGUAAUUCUAGACACGUCAUUAGUAUUCCUGGGCUUCUGACGAUGGACUUCUUAUAGCAAUAGUGAUCUUUCUGCCAGGACAUAGGAUCCUAUGAUAUCAUGAGGCUCCCCAGAAUAUAGGCAUGGAUGCAGGUAUACAUACACACAAACCUAUAUACGUAUAUAUGCACACAUACAUAAGAUAUGUAUAAGUGGUGAAGCCCAACCGACCUCCAUUGCUGCUUGACAAAGUUCCAGCUGGGGGAAAGAAAGCAGGGAACACAUCGUACCCUCAUGUUUUAUUUUUUUCUUGCCAUAAUGUUUAUAAUUGUUACUCUGGUCACGGGAGUCAUUGUGUUUGUGACUAACAACAAACUCUCCAUGAGGCAAAUUGGCAAUGAUAUAUUGAAAUCUGAUCUGGCUCAAAAGUCUCAAAUUCCAGUUUCUCUUAGUUCUAUUGCCACAUCCACUCCUAAAGAAACCUCUCCUAAAACCCCCUCUGUUUUCCCACUAUUAUAACUCCCUCUCUUACUGCUGACAUUCUUUUUACUAAAGGGGUCUUAUAAAGAGAUUGAAAGGACAGACUUUAGAUGUAAGAAAUAGUGGGAAAUGGGAAAUAAAAAGAACGUUAAAACAGGUAAAUGCAUUAAGGAGGCAAGUUACUCAAUAUUUCUCAAAGUGCUGUAAAUAUCUCCUGCUCAUGGACUAUGAACCCAAAUGACAUUUAGUUAAGAUGAAUAGAGGUAAAAAGAACAUAGAGAGCUAAUAGCAAACUGUAUUAACCAUUGUGCAGUUUCUCAAGGGCUAGCUGGUGACCACAAGUUUGACAUUUAAUUUGAUUGUUACUUUCUGUUCUGCUUAGGUAUGGGACAAUGAGGGAACAAUUGCAGUUUUUAAGAAAUGUAUUCAUGAUGUUCAAUGAAAUGAAUCAGCUUAGAAAAAAUAUACUGUUUAACAAAAAUAACCUGUACCUCAUCAGAUAUUGCUAAGGCAACAUGUUCCGCCCAAUGCCUCUUCGCUAUUGCUUAAAGAUAUAAAAAUAAAUCAGACCCUGAGACUUCUCAGAGGGAACCUGAACAUUGCUUGUAAAGGUUCUUUUCUCAUCGCUGGCCCAGGACAUCUCCCCUUCCUACCCUACAUCGACUGCAGCUGGUCUGCGACAUAUAAGAUUACUUACACUCAGGCACUGGAAAUGUAGACGAGUAUAAAGAAAUAAAAAUUCUCUAUAGUACAUCCCAGAGGUAACAGCUCUCAUCCAGUGUCUUUUUGUUCCUAAGUAAAAAUUCAGGCAGCCCUCAUUUUAGCUAGGCAUUGUCUAGAGACAUUCAACAUGUGUCUGAUAAAAUGAUACAGAAGCUAGGUACAGCACGUGCCUGUAGUCCCAGAUACUUGGGAGGUUGAGGCAGGAGGGCGGCUUGAGCCUAGGAGCUGCAGGCCAACCUGGCCAACAUAGUGAGACACUGUUAAAAAUAAACCGUAAAAUAACAUGAUGCUUGUACCAUGUUUCAUUUUUAUUUAAAAAACAAAUGUUAGCUCAAGGGAUAGGAUGAAGUUGAGAAUUAUAUAAGUAAUAAAUGCAUAAGCACAGUGCUUAUAUUUAUAUAAACAAAACAUCAAAUGCACUCUGUACAGCAGCUAUACACUUGGGCAAUGUAUGAUCAUUUUUUAAUAAUAGGCAUCUUUUAUCACAAAACACAAGAAUACCAUGGGGCUGCCACCUUCUAGAUGCUAUUUCAGGAUGGAAACAAAACUGCAAAAAUCAGAGUCUACUUACUGAUUUGCAACACAUCCC